CAAGAGCGUAUGUAAAAGUUGUUGCAGUUAAAAAGCUCGUAGUUGAACCUUGGGUUUGGUUGGCCGGUCCGCUUUUUUGCGAGUACUGGAUUCAACCGAGCCUUUCCUUCUGGCUAACCAGUCGUUUCGGCGGCUGGCGAACCAGGAUUUUUACUUUGAGAAAAUUAGAGUGUUCAAAGCAGGCAUUAGCUUGAAUAUAUUAGCAUGGAAUAAUAGAAUAGGACGUUAUGGUUCUAUUUUGUUGGUUUCUAGGACCAUCGUAAUGAUUAAUAGGGACGGUCGGGGGCAUCAGUAUUCAGUUGUCGGAGGUGAAAUUCUUGGAUUUACUGAAGACUAACUACUGCGAAAGCAUUCGCCAAGGACGUUUUCAUUAA
RNAcentral lists this ribosomal RNA (374 nucleotides) under uncultured eukaryote. Its description in RNAcentral is "partial 18S ribosomal RNA". It matches the Rfam family "Eukaryotic small subunit ribosomal RNA", at positions 592 to 976 of the family's 1831-position model. The record is from RNAcentral.